GCCGGCGUGGCGGAGUCUGGCCGAACGCGGCAGAUUCGAGCGGAUGCGCUGAGGAGCAAUCCGAUGACGAAAGUCCCGAGGCAUCUGCUGGGCUUCUGACGAGCCCUCCCCGGUUCGAAUCCGGGCGCCGGCG
Molecule: transfer RNA, 133 nt
Filed under: Candidatus Nanosalinarum sp. J07AB56
Lineage: Archaea; Methanobacteriati; Methanobacteriota; Candidatus Nanohaloarchaea
Description: tRNA-Ser
Rfam family: tRNA
About the family: Transfer RNA (tRNA) molecules are approximately 80 nucleotides in length.
Source: RNAcentral